CCUACGGGAGGCUGCAGUGAGGAAUAUUGGUCAAUGGACGAGAGUCUGAACCAGCCAAGUAGCGUGAAGGAUGAAUGCCCUAUGGGUUGUAAACUUCUUUUAUAUGGGAAUAAAAUGUUCCACGUGUGGGAUUUUGUAUGUACCAUAUGAAUAAGGAUCGGCUAACUCCGUGCCAGCAGCCGCGGUAAUACGGAGGAUCCGAGCGUUAUCCGGAUUUAUUGGGUGUAAAGGGAGCGUAGGUGGAUUGUUAAGUCAGUUGUGAAAGUUUGCGGCUCAACCGUAAAAUUGCAGUUGAGACUGGCAGGCUGGAGUACAGUAGAGGUGGGCGGAAUUCGUGGUGUAGCGGUGAAAUGCUUAGAUAUCACGAAGAACUCCGAUUGCGAAGGCAGCUCACUGGACUGCAACUGACACUGAGGCUCGAAAGUGUGGGUAUCAAACAGGAUUAGAUACCCCAGUAGUC
RNAcentral lists this ribosomal RNA (460 nucleotides) under uncultured bacterium. RNAcentral's name for it is "partial 16S ribosomal RNA". It matches the Rfam family "Bacterial small subunit ribosomal RNA", at positions 338 to 795 of the family's 1533-position model. The record is from RNAcentral.